UGGGAGACAUACUUCUUUAUAUGCCCAUAUGGACCUGCUAAGCUAUGGAAUGUAAAGAAGUAUGUAUCUCA
This is a microRNA precursor of Microcebus murinus (gray mouse lemur), 71 nucleotides long. Ensembl annotates it as microRNA 1-1. Its record names the gene MIR1-1. Lineage: Eukaryota; Metazoa; Chordata; Mammalia; Primates; Cheirogaleidae. The record is from Ensembl.